GCCAGGUAUGGUGCCUCACACUUGUGGUCCCAGCUACCUGGGAGGCUGACACUAGAGGAUAACUUAAGCUCAGGAUUUUGAGGUGAGCCUGGGCAAGAUAGCAAAAGUGUCUC
This 113-nucleotide small RNA is filed under the name Marmota monax (woodchuck). The record is from RNAcentral. Lineage: Eukaryota; Metazoa; Chordata; Mammalia; Rodentia; Sciuridae.